RNAcentral lists this ribosomal RNA (433 nucleotides) under uncultured bacterium. RNAcentral describes it as "partial 16S ribosomal RNA". It matches the Rfam family "Bacterial small subunit ribosomal RNA", at positions 29 to 507 of the family's 1533-position model. The record is from RNAcentral.
AACGAACGCUGGCGGCAUGCCUAACACAUGCAAGUCGAACGAGACCUUCGGGUCUAGUGGCGCACGGGUGCGUAACGCGUGGGAACCUGCCCUUAGGUUCGGAAUAACUCCCCGAAAGGGGUGCUAAUACCGGAUAAUGUCUCCGGACCAAAGAUUUAUCGCCUUUGGAUGGGCCCGCGUUGGAUUAGCUAGUUGGUAGGGUAAAAGCCUACCAAGGCGACGAUCCAUAGCUGGUCUGAGAGGAUGAUCAGCCACACUGGGACUGAGACACGGCCCAGACUCCUACGGGAGGCAGCAGUGGGGAAUAUUGGACAAUGGGCGAAAGCCUGAUCCAGCAAGGCCGCGUGAGUGAUGAAGGCCUUAGGGUUGUAAAGCUCUUUUACCCGGGAUGAUAAUGACAGUACCGGGAGAAUAAGCUCCGGCUAACUCCGUG